This 6560-nucleotide long non-coding RNA is filed under the name Phoenix dactylifera (date palm). Its description in RNAcentral is "long non-coding RNA (PDAC_LNC000621)". The record is from RNAcentral. Lineage: Eukaryota; Viridiplantae; Streptophyta; Magnoliopsida; Arecales; Arecaceae.
GCAAGUUGAGCCCAAGCACUGCGAGCUUAUGAGUUGCACCGAAGAACUAAUAAAUAAUUAUGUAUUCAUUUAUGGAUAUUCCUUUCUACCCUGGUCUUCUUCUUCUUCUUCUUCUCCAAUCGAAUCCAUGGAGAUGGCUCCCGCCGCUCUCCCCAAAUCUGGAGCCGCCUCCAAGUGCUACAGCGCCCUUGCCUCGACGUGGGAUCUGGUAACCGGUCCGAACCCUAACUCUCCUCGAUUCCACUCCGCGACGAGGUCGAAGCCAUCACCGCAACGGGUUUGCUCAUGAAUGGAAUAUGGACGCGUCAGCGAUCGCCAGAAUGCUUAAUAGGUUAUUCCCACAAUGGCUGCUUUAAUCAGUGUCUUCCUCCCUUCUGUUUUUGGUAUCUAAUAAGAAAGGGGUGAUCUUUUUUCUUAUUUAGUGAAAAGAAUUGAUCUUUUUGGUUUGAACUCUUGGAUUGGAACUUAGUGGUCUAGUAGUUUAUUAGGUGGAUUGUGAGUUAUAUGAUAUGAAAAAUCCAAACUUUAUUCAAGAAAAAUGAUUCCUCUGGAAAGUCUACCAGAGUAGAUGAUGAUUCAAGCUGUAUGCAUAUAUUGCAUAGAAACUUAUUGGCAUUGGUAACAUGUUUGUUCUGCAGACUAAUGCAUCCUUUGUCCUGUGGUUUAUAGGCAUGGGAAUAUUGAUAUUAAUCAUAUUCACUAAUUUAGCAUAAGGAACAAUUUGGUUGGGAAUAGUGGUUCAGAAUUCAUGAAAAAUGUGGUGAAUUCAGAAAAAAAUUCAGUGAGGAUUUGCAUAUUAUAUAAUUAGGGAACAAUAAAAGGAACUAAGCUUACUAAUGUUCACAUAUAUGGCCAAUCACAACUUUACAGUACUGGAAUCAUUCACACCCUAUAAUAUGGUGUUGAAGGCACUGUCCUCUUUGCGUGAUAAUUACCCAGAUCAAAAUGUCACUCCUUUUGUUUAAUGAUGGCUCAACUAACUUUCUGCCUUCCUCUAGGCCAACAUUUUUUUGGAAAUAUAGCAUAACCGGCUUUCUCUAUUCCUUCUUCAGGAGGUCAUAGAACACCUUUGGCUUUCUGUAACUACCAAUGCAUAGAGCCUGUCACCACAAAAUACAUUAACUCAGUUAUCUAUUGGAAAUGAGCAUAGGACUUGCAAGAAACACUAAAAAUGGGCUUAUCCCUCUCAGUACAUGAAUAGUAUUGUCACAACUACAGUGUUGAAAUUUAACAUAUUACAUCCUUCUCAAGCAAGGUCAUCAAAUGAAGCAUUGGUCUUAAAAUUUCUGAGAGCUAAGAUCCAAAAUCUUAUGAAGCACAUUUUAGUUCAUUCUUUGGGUGCCCAUAGUCUUUUUAACUAAAUAUCAACUAUGUUAAAAGGGCACAGUAACAAAUAGUACAGACCUUAGUCUUAAUGCAACUGCAAGUAAACACCGAAGUUUAAUCAAUUUAUUUGAACUUAGUGUGUAAGCAAACACUGAAACUAGGCAUGAUUUUAGAUGUUUUAGCAUUAGUCCUUUGUGGUUCUAACAUAAAAUAUGUGAUUCAUGCUAUUUGUAUAGAUGUAUGGACAAGUAGAUGUGCUUUACAUGUAACCAACCAAUGCUGAGUAGAUGAGAGAGCUGCAUCUUUAGAUUUUUUUAUUAAUACUAUUUACAUUGGUUAUCUUUUCUUUUGCCAACAAAUUAAGAUUGGAAAAGAAAUCAAAAAUUUCUUUUUCUAAGUGCCGGACAUUCAACAUUUCUUUUGCCAACAAAUUAAGACUGGAAAAGGAAUCAAAAAUUUGCUCCUCUAGAUCCACGAAUAAACCAACAAAUUACUUGAUGUUGCAAAAUUACUGCUUACCUCCAUGGCAAAUGCUAAAUGGAGUAAGGUUGCUUCGGACCAUGGUCUCCCAAUAAACUGAAGGCCAAUAGGCAUGCCCCCCUUGUCAUACCCAACCUUUGAAGUAGCAUAGCCUUUAGAAUAAAGAUAGAGUAGGUAUCUAAUACAAAUAGGAGUUGGAAAAGAUGUACCAUAGUAGUAAUUGUAGGCAAGCCAAGAAAAUUUCCUGCUAUUGAGAACCUCACAAGUGCCGCUGGAAAAAGAUACAAGGAUCAAGUUACUCCCCUAAAAUCUAAGAAAACCAUAUGAAAAUGAUGAAAAGCGCAAUUUUGAGCUUUUGAAAGGAUAUCCAAGCUCCACAAUCUAGAUUUCUAGUACCUCCAUUUAUGUAAUCGAGUUCUCCACUAUUCAAGGCAUCACUUAGCAGUGGGUAUGCAGUGACACUGUAUAUGAGAAAAAAACGUAAACAUCUUACAUAUAAGAAACAAAUUUAUGUAGGAGGAAAACUAUGAGCAUCUAUCCUACUAUUACCAUACCUCUUAUUUUAAAAAAAUAUAUGAACAACUGAAGUUUGGUUCCAAAAUAAAGUGCCAUUCAGUUGACAAUUAUUAGAUAAUCGUAACAAAAUGGCCUCUUAGGAUGCACAGAAGUGAUCAAUACAGUAAUCCACCCUACUAUUUUUGCACUUUUUGUUUUUAAGAAUAUACUAAUGUCCGAACUUUGCCUCCAAAAUAAAUUGCCAUUCUGCUGACAAUUAUUAGAUCAUUAUAGUAAAAUGGCCACUUAGGAUGCACAAAAGUGAUCAAUAUAGCAAUGCCAUGUUAUCUGUUCCCAAGGACAAUUAUUUUCCGAUCAACUUAUGUUUCUCUUCUUCUGCACGAAUACAAUCAAAUUAGUUGAAGGUAUAGUGUUAUGGUAUCAAGAUAUUAAUUUGGCUAUGCAUGUGUACUGCUUUAAAGCAUUGUUAUCUCAUUAUAAGGUGAUGCAUUGCUUACUGCUUUAUUUCAUGUUGUCAUAUCCUUCCAAAUCAGUGCUCAACAAAGCAGCAAAGGGAAAUGCAUUCGUGUGCUUCUUUUUUUUAUACACCUUAUUUGUAUGGGAAUGAUCAACAUACAGACUCCUACAGAUUGCUAUCAACAAAAAUCUUGCUUAAUUUCCUACUGUCUUUUCUUAUAUGAAUUUUUUAGCAAUCGACUUUAUGAGAAUGUUGUCAAAUCCAGUAAAUGUGCAUAUGUAGAAAAUUCCAACAAGUGUCUUCAGAGGCGGAUGGAGCAUGGAACUAUGUGAUGGAGAAUAUCAGAUCUGCAGUUCAGUUUUUUGAGCAUUGGUUCCAUUUAUGGAGCUUUCUGUUAUAGUGGUGCUCCACUUUAUAAGCUGCUUCCCUUUUCCUUAUCUUGGCCAUCUUGAUGAUGCAAAUACUUCUUUAUUGAUUAAUUCUUUUGUUAGUUUUAAGAUAGAACUACACAUCUUAGUGAGGACAAAUUUUAUUCGAUCAUGCUGCCUUCUGGUCAAUAUACAAAUUUAGGAAUAGAGGGAAAUGAGUUAACUGACAACAUGAAGGCGUCGGAGAAUACAAUGGCAAAUUAACCAAACAAAAUAUAAUGACAUGCUCAAUUACCGAGUAAAAAAUCACACUAACUAUACCUGUCAUCUGCCUGUGCUUUUGCAGAGAUGAUAACUCUAUCCAUAUGAGGUUAUUAUAACCAAGGAUAUAAGUACUGGUGCCAGUACACUUGCCUGGUCACCUGCCCACAUAACCUGUGCAGGUCAUCUGAUGGCAUGGUAUGUGCUCUGUGUGUGUUGUUGGACUGGUCUGUGUCAAAACUGAAAAUGUUUCACAAUGACCAUGCAUGAUUGGUGAUUUACAUCGAUUAUAAAUGGGUUAAGAAGACUUUUCCAAUUUAUGAGGCUUAAGAAACUUCAAACAUAUCCAUAACCCCAUAACCUACUUAAACAUAUUUAUCUGCAUAUAUUGCUAACAGUAGUAUGGUUGAAGCAUAAUACCCAGUUGUCGGUGUGACAAUGACAUCCGCCCUUUCAAAAAUCUUCUUAUGGAAGUACAUCUGACGGUUCCUGGAGAUAUAUGGUAAAAAAGGACCAUGCCGUUAUGCACAACCAAAACUUUGAUUUACAUGAUUUGCAUGACAAACCAUGGUGUCUAUGUAUGUAUGCAUGUACUGAUGCUGAUGGACAUAGGUUUUGCUGUCUACGUAAGAGUAGGUCAAACAUGCUAUUUAGAAAUAAAAGAAUUGAAGAAUUAUUGGCUAGAUUACCAAAUAAAUAAAUAAAUAUUAUAUUUAUAUCGCUAAUUUUUCAAGGUAUCAAUAUCAAGCAUCAUUAAACAAAUAUAUUUCACAAUAUACAUGUGACAGCAGUUCAUCCAAUAAAGGAUUUUAGCAUCACAUGUACAAGUGCAAGGCCCUGGCAGACCACAUAUAACUAAACUUGCAUUCUAGCAUGAGAUGGUGUUUGACUGUCAGAGAUUGUUUUGUGCAUGUCAUGAUAAGAACCAAUCCUUUAUCUGUUAUACUUGAGAUUAUUAGAAUUCCCAAUAGUNNNNNNNNNNNNNNNNNNNNNNNNNNNNNNNNCAAAGGUGCUUGGUGACCAGAGAGGUUACCAGAAAUAGCUGCAUAAACUAUUAGUGCAUCUUCAACAGUUGCUGCUAAUAUGCCUGGCAUUCCAACUGUCCAAUUCAGCGGAAGGGUACCCGAAUUAGACAAGCGUCCAGAGGUCGCCUUGAAACCAACUACGCCACAGAGAGCAGCAGGCAUCCGCACCGACCCUCCCCCAUCAACACCAAGUGCAACAGGGCAUAAUCCAGCACACACUACUGCAGCUUACGAAUAGUGAUAAAGUAUUAAAAAUGGUUAAGGGCCUAAUUUUUGGCAUGUUUUCCUUCUCAUAGUUUGCUUUGGGAGUCAUAGCUCAAUUCCUAUUGUUUAUUAGUAUCACUCAUGGAUGUCUAUUAUUGAUCAGCCACUUCUUCUAAUAUCUAUCUUAUCCUUCUGCUUCAAAGAAUAAGAUACUGCAUUUUCAUCUAAAUUCCUCACUUUCCCAUUUUGAGGGCCUUAUAGAUUUGCCUUUUUUCACACGACAGAAAUGAAUAAUUAGAUAUUAAGGCAUUGAAUCAUUACAUCUCUUAUUUAAACUUGCAAGGCUCAUAAGCCAUAACCAUUAUUGUUCUUCUAAAUUAGCAGCAAUGCUGAAAGGCAAAAUUAAGAAAGGAUGUAAGCGGAUCUUAAUUGGAGUUUUCAAUUUAGUACACAUAUUCAACUGCCUUACCUCAUAAGAAAAUGGCAAUAGAACUGGAGCCUUUACGUGCAUUAAUAUGAUAUUGACAUUUCAAUAUAAAGAUGAACAUCUUUAAAGUAAAAAAUGCUGCAAAAACUAAUGGUUCUCUUGGUACUGCCAUGCUGAAGUACCUUAUCCGCUGAGCAUUCAAAUAAUCCUUGCUGCUGAAUGAACGGUAGACACGAAGAGCUAUUCUUGCAUCCCACCCUAUCUCUGCAAAAUUCCUAUAGUAAUACAAGGACAUAAUGUAAGGUCCUAUAUUUAUGAUUUUAACACCACUGGCAGAACUGAUUAAACUGCAUCCAGGUAAAGCUACUUACAGUUUUUCGAGAUGUGGAGCCAAUGAAGCAGUGCAUUCAGAUCCAAUUGUUAUAUAAUGAGCCAAACGCAUCUCUUCUAUCUCAGGUACAGUCACAGCCAGAGUCUUACAGGUAGGAAAGCUCCAUUUGAUUAGAAAAUGAUGUUUCAAUAUUUACUUAUGUUAGCAUAUGGAACUUUUCGUGUACAUUAGAAAAUCAGAGGAUGCUGGAACUUUUACUAGGAUGGUUGAAGAAAAGAAGGCACUUCGCUCUAUGAACUAAGGCAGUUAAAUAAAAUGCUAGUACCUUCCACCCAUAAUGCUUGCAUAGCAUUUGCAAAGCUUGGUCACAGCAAUUUCUAAUUUCACUUGUGCAGUCAUUAAACCACUGAUUUUUCCAAACAAGAAUUACAUCAUGUUAGCAUCUGUCUCCGAAAUACAAUAAAAAGAAAGAGUUUGUAUGAAACUGAAAUUGAUCCAUCAAACUGGAUUAAUUGUAAGAAUGCUUAGUUCCGAAAUGUUUGGAAAUUCAGAGCUAACCUCCCCAUAUUUGGCUAAUUUGAUGUUCGUGAUUGAUUGUGUGGAUGUCAGCAGAGGAAAACUCAAUUUAGGCUGGAGGAUUCUCGAAAAAAAAGAGAAGAAAAAAAAAAUCAACUUAUCAGACUCCUGAAAAAAAUGAAUUUGACAAAGCUAGUAACAGAAUCUCUUCACAGCACCCAAGCACAAUGAAGAAAACUUUUUCUGCUUUCUUUAAUUUCUGAAAAAUGAAAGAAAAAGCACUGCUUAAAUAUGUCUGAGAUAGGAGGAAUGGGGGAUGAUUUUCUCACCUGCAAAGGUGCUUGGUGACCAGAGAGGUUACCAGAAAUAGCUGCAUAACUGAUAUGAACAAGAAUGUUUAUUUAGAUAGUAAUUGAUUGCAGCAGGACCUUACAAAAAAUAGAAAAGUUUGUGAUCUUAUGGAAUCAAAUACUGACACUAUUAGUGCAUCUUCAACAGUUGCUGCUAAUAUGCCUGGCAUUCCAACUGUCCAAUUCAGCGGAAGGGUACUGAAACAACGACAUAAAAUGCCUAUCAGGAUAGUAGGGGGAAUAUAGCGUACAAGCAAUGGAGAUAGUGGAGAAGCUUCUGAUGGCCAGUUAAUUUACCC